GCCGGGUUAGCUCAGUGGGAGAGCGUCUGCCUUACAAGCAGAGGGCCGGGGGUUCGAAUCCCUCACCCGGUAC
RNAcentral lists this transfer RNA (73 nucleotides) under Streptomyces phage Gilson. RNAcentral's name for it is "tRNA-Val". It matches the Rfam family "tRNA". From Rfam's summary of the family: Transfer RNA (tRNA) molecules are approximately 80 nucleotides in length. Their secondary structure includes four short double-helical elements and three loops (D, anti-codon, and T loops). The record is from RNAcentral. Lineage: Duplodnaviria; Heunggongvirae; Uroviricota; Caudoviricetes; Stanwilliamsviridae. RNAcentral also lists the same sequence under 5 other names.